Long non-coding RNA from Oreochromis aureus, 312 nucleotides. The record is from Ensembl. Lineage: Eukaryota; Metazoa; Chordata; Actinopteri; Cichliformes; Cichlidae.
UUGUGUUGCUGACUGUGAUAUGAAUAAUAUCUGAUAACUGUGAGAAAAAUAACUAUGCAUGUGAAUGUGUGAACAAAAAAAAAAACCAAAGGCAAAAAAUGGAAUAUUUUGGAUCUCAUGAUUAUAAAUUUUAUGAGUUGGACCGGUGUCCACUCUGCUGCGGCCGUGGCCUUCUGUCUGAAGAAAGACCCCGAUAACAAAGAUGAUGCUCUUUUGGAAGCAGCAAGGACCAACAACGCUCAGGAUGUAGCCAGAGAUAAGGAGGAUAUAGGAAAGAUGGAGAGAAAGACGGACACUCUUUCUCAAAUUGAU